AAACCAUCAAGCGCAGCUUGGCUUUGGACCCGGGACUAGAGCCCCGUCUGAAACUUCAAAUGGCGUUCCCGUCGAGCCUUAAGCGUAGCAAGAAUUAAUCCCUCGCUUUAAAGGCCUUGGGCGGGAGCAGCACCGAAAGUCACCCCAAA
RNAcentral lists this unclassified non-coding RNA (149 nucleotides) under uncultured Ascomycota. Its description in RNAcentral is "sequence contains ITS2". Lineage: Eukaryota; Fungi; Ascomycota. The record is from RNAcentral.